CGGGGGGGGGCGCAAUUGACAAGCGCACUCCUUUGGGGUGGGAGAGGACACUGGUUCAAAUCCAGUCGCCCCGA
Molecule: transfer RNA, 74 nt
Filed under: Endomicrobium sp.
Lineage: Bacteria; Pseudomonadati; Elusimicrobiota; Endomicrobiia; Endomicrobiales; Endomicrobiaceae
Description: tRNA-Pro
Rfam family: tRNA
About the family: Transfer RNA (tRNA) molecules are approximately 80 nucleotides in length.
Source: RNAcentral